CAGCAGCCGCCACGGUAAUACGUAGGGUGCAAGCGUUAAUCGGAAUUACUGGGCGUAAAGCGUGCGCAGGCGGUUAUAUAAGACAGAUGUGAAAUCCCCGGGCUCAACCUGGGAACUGCAUUUGUGACUGUAUAGCUAGAGUACGGCAGAGGGGGAUGGAAUUCCGCGUGUAGCAGUGAAAUGCGUAGAUAUGCGGAGGAACACCGAUGGCGAAGGCAAUCCCCUGGGCCUGUACUGACGCUCAUGCACGAAAGCGUGGGGAGCAAACAGGAUUAGAUACCCGUGUAGUCCCUGUCUCUUU
Molecule: ribosomal RNA, 301 nt
Filed under: uncultured bacterium
Lineage: Bacteria
Description: partial 16S ribosomal RNA
Rfam family: Bacterial small subunit ribosomal RNA
Source: RNAcentral